Molecule: non-coding RNA, 73 nt
Organism: Phrynosoma platyrhinos (Desert horned lizard)
Lineage: Eukaryota; Metazoa; Chordata; Lepidosauria; Squamata; Phrynosomatidae
Source: the annotation of a GenBank genome assembly
AGCCGGUGUGGUGCAAUGGUUUGAGUACUGGACUGCAACUCUGGAGACCAGCCUUCGAUUCCCAGCUUGGCUA